CACAGGGGUGAGAGGGGACUUUUGAACGCGAAGCUCGCGCUUUUGGCCUUUUGCCCGUUGGGCUUGGGUCGUCAGAACUCAUCAGAAGCCCGACACACGGGCAAGCGGAGCGGUGAGCGGAGCCGCGCGCGUAGCUGCCGUUGGUGGGGUAGUAGGCGGCUGCGGGAGCUCGUGUCGUGUCCGCUUCUGGCUUUUGUGCCCUCGCCCAGCAUCGGGUCGAGGUCGGGUCUGGCGGCCGCUUUGCGUGCCUGCAAGGCUUCUUCCUGCCUGCCGCUGGCGCGCUCUUUCUUGCCGUUGCAAAAAUACAAAUUCCAGAGCUUAUUUCAAACCUUCGUUCCUGGCCGCCAACCUUUAUUUUAACUUUUCUAGCUUCUGUACGCACUUGUGUGGUUUCGUAUCCCAGCUUGUUGCUUCCCGCUUUUGGAAAAUUAUUAGCCGCCCUUUUUUUUUAAGCUCAUCAUCCAUGAUUUGCGUUUUGUUUCUCUCUCUCUAUAAUAAUAAUGGUGAUUUGCGUAUUGAAAGUGCGUCUCCGACUGCGUUAGCUCAUGCAUGAAUCUGUGCGUUUCCAGUACGGGUUUGGGCGCACUGGCUUUUUUAGCCUGGGUGGGCAUUUUAGGUGGUGAGCAUUAUGCACUAGCUAGCUAGUGAUGGAAUUGAAAUCCCAACUAAUUGUCAUGCCACUUAAGAGAUGAUGUAUGUGUUGCGUGAAGCCUCGGCACGCCCGUGGUUUUGGAUUUUGACACUGUAACAUUUUUAUUUUUAUUUGACAAAUGUUGUCUAAUCAAAGAGUAACUAGUCUUAAAAAAUUCGUCUCGUGAUUUACAGACAAACUAUGCAAUUAGUUUUUAUUUUCAUUUAUAUUUAAUGUUGCAUGCAUGUACAGCAAGAUUCAAUGUGAUGAGGAAUCUUGAUUUUUUUUUUGUUUUUGAGGUGAACUAAACAAGGCCUUGACUUGAGCUUAUCUGCCGAAUCUAUCAGUCAUUUAACAAUAUUUUUCUCUUAUAAUAAUUUAGCGAACAAUACUUUCAUAGUUUUUUAGACAAACGAACAAGCUCAAUUGUUCAAGGUAGGUGCAUCGGGCAAUUGAUCUUGGGUAAUUUGAAGGCAAACAAAACACAUGUACUCCUAUGUACUACUCUCUCCAUACCUAUAAAGAAAGUCGUUUAGGACAAUGACAUAGUUUUCAAAGCUUAACUUUGACUUUUUAUUUUUAUAAAUUUUUUUAUCAAAAAGUGGUAUAUGUAUAUUUUUAUGAAAGUAUUUUUCAAGACAAAUCUAUUCAUAUGGUUUCCAUAUUUCCAAACUCAAUAAUUUAAAAGUUAUUUCAUAAUUUAUAUUCUCAAUGUUUGACCUAAACCUUGUACAAAACGACUUUUUUACGUGUAUAGAGAGAGUAUCUUAUUAGUUCUCAGUUAUAAUAUUAAUUCGACCACUCUUACUUUUUUGAUUAAAUUCUCUGUAAAUAUAUUUGUUUUUGUCUACGCUUUGCUCAUGGAUUCAUUGGCUACAACUUUUUUUUAUUAAGUUAUAUAAAAACUCACCUUUAUUUUACAGGUGGUUCCCAUAGACCAAGCUUGAGCGACUAGUCGUGUUUACCAAAAAUGGUCCAGCAAAGUUGAAGUCUGACACUUAUAAAGUGAAAUAAUCCUACAGACAAACGGAUCAAUGGAAUUUACAGCUAGGCUAAUCCAGGAACAAAGACGAAAAUAAUGCAGGCAUACGCUCGUGUGUCUGGAACGAACAAGAGAAAUGCAUGCGUCGGCCACCCACUAAUCAAUAAACAUCUAUCCCCCCCCCCCCCCCCCCCCCCCGGUAACAGAUAAAACAAAACAAUAGCUUAUGCGCCGCAAAAGUGCUUUCGCACUCAAAGUAGCAGUAGGCGUACACUUUGCUAAACUGCAGUUCUAGAAGCCCUAACUAGCUGAUAAAAGUCUUUUUGUAUGCAAUGAGAAGAUUUUCUUUUACAGUCUUCUCUCCGUCCUGCCCUCCACCUGUAAAAUACUCACCUACUUCCAUAAGAAAAAGAAAAAAAAACUCACCUACUAAGUAAGUCUGUUACUCCCUCUCUCUCUAUCAAAGAAUAGAAUGCUUAGGGUCUGUUUAGAUCUUAAAUCUUUACAUUCCAAAACUUUUGGCUGUAAACUUUACAUUCAAAUAGGUGUUUAAAUGCUUUCCAAAUAUUUUGGUCUGCAACACACAAUACACGGGUCCCUAAACAAGUUUACACAGUUUUGAGACUCCAAGGUCCCAAAUUCCAAAUCUUUAUAGCCAAAUUUUACAAGUCACUGUUUAGAUCCAUUCUUCCAAAAAGUGCUCAUUUCUCCAAAAGUUUUGGCUGUUUGACUGCAUCUAAACAGGGCCUUACUUUUUAAAAAGUCAAAUAGUUUCAAUUUUGACUAAAUUUAUAUAAAAUAUACUAACAUUCAUGAUACAAAAAUAAGCACCGUUACAAGUCGUACAUUUUCUGCCAGACAACAGUAUUUUUCUCUCAUAAUAAAUCAGCGAACAAUAUUUUCAAUCAUAGCUUUUAAACCAGUG
Molecule: long non-coding RNA, 2538 nt
Filed under: Sorghum bicolor (sorghum)
Lineage: Eukaryota; Viridiplantae; Streptophyta; Magnoliopsida; Poales; Poaceae
Description: long non-coding RNA (SBIC_LNC005567)
Source: RNAcentral